Molecule: transfer RNA, 82 nt
Filed under: Daphnia pulicaria
Lineage: Eukaryota; Metazoa; Arthropoda; Branchiopoda; Diplostraca; Daphniidae
Description: tRNA-Leu
Rfam family: tRNA
About the family: Transfer RNA (tRNA) molecules are approximately 80 nucleotides in length. Their secondary structure includes four short double-helical elements and three loops (D, anti-codon, and T loops). Further hydrogen bonds mediate the characteristic L-shaped molecular structure. tRNAs have two regions of fundamental functional importance: the anti-codon, which is responsible for specific mRNA codon recognition, and the 3' end, to which the tRNAs corresponding amino acid is attached (by aminoacyl-tRNA synthetases). tRNAs cope with the degeneracy of the genetic code in two manners: having more than one tRNA (with a specific anti-codon) for a particular amino acid; and 'wobble' base-pairing, i.e. permitting non-standard base-pairing at the 3rd anti-codon position.
Source: RNAcentral
GAUAGUGUGGCCGAGUGGUCUAUGGCGCCGGUUUUAGGCACCAGUCUCUUCGGAGGCAAGGGUUCGAAUCCCUUCACUGUCA